RNAcentral lists this ribosomal RNA (253 nucleotides) under uncultured bacterium. Its description in RNAcentral is "partial 16S ribosomal RNA". It matches the Rfam family "Bacterial small subunit ribosomal RNA", at positions 524 to 776 of the family's 1533-position model. The record is from RNAcentral.
UACGUAGGGUGCGAGCGUUAAUCGGAAUUACUGGGCGUAAAGCGUGCGCAGGCGGUUUUGUAAGCCAGAUGUGAAAUCCCCGGGCUCAACCUGGGAAUGGCAUUUGGGACUGCAAGGCUUGAGUGCGGCAGAGGAGACUGGAAUUCCUGGUGUAGCAGUGAAAUGCGUAGAUAUCAGGAGGAACACCGGUGGCGAAGGCGGAUCUCUGGGCCUUACCUGACGCUCAGGCGCGAAAGCUAGGGGAGCGAACAGG